GGAGCGUGCGGGUGAGGAGGCGGGUGAAAGCGUAGGGGGGGGGGGUUUUGCGGAUGGUGUGGGCGUGAAGGGCGCUGAGGCGGGCUGUCGCGUGUCUGGUGAAAGCGGUCGGCUUAACCGGGAGAGGUCCAGGGAAACGGGCAGGCUUGGGCGUCGGAGAGGGGCAUGGAACUCCGGGUGGAGCGGUGAAAUGCGUAGAGAUCCGGAAGAACACCAAUGGCGAAGGCAGUGCCCUGGCCGACUGCUGACGCUCAGGCGCGAAAGCGUGGGGAGCAAACAGGAUUAGAUACCCUAGUAGUC
RNAcentral lists this ribosomal RNA (300 nucleotides) under uncultured Pyrodictium sp. Its description in RNAcentral is "partial 16S ribosomal RNA". The stretch from base 60 to 300 matches the Rfam family "Bacterial small subunit ribosomal RNA", at positions 555 to 795 of the family's 1533-position model. The record is from RNAcentral. Lineage: Archaea; Thermoproteati; Thermoproteota; Thermoprotei; Desulfurococcales; Pyrodictiaceae.